UCCCAUCAGAAGUAAGAACACCAUAAAUAUCCUCUUCAAAAGAUUAAUUUAAAUUCCUAAAUCAUGUCAAACUAGUUUUCUGAUAUGAUGCAUGGUUAAACUCAAACAUCAAGACAGUCCUGAUCAUCUAGAGAUCAUUUCUUUCAGAAAGAAAACAUGCUGAUGUGUUUCUGUCUCCAUCUUCAGCAAAACUGCCAUGGACCUCAACUGCAGAAACCUUCCUGAUCUUAGAGGUUCUUGAACAUCUGAGAGACCUUAGCUAGUUCCCACUGCAGACUGCACAAUGGACAGAACGGCACCAAACUGCUCAGGAUGUCCUGCCAUCUACCAAAAGGAAACCACAAAAACUAACUUUGGACAGUGACCAGA
Molecule: long non-coding RNA, 369 nt
Organism: Poeciliopsis prolifica (blackstripe livebearer)
Lineage: Eukaryota; Metazoa; Chordata; Actinopteri; Cyprinodontiformes; Poeciliidae
Exons: 3
Source: RefSeq, a predicted model, not a curated record